ACGGGGGGGGCAAGCGUUGUUCGGAAUUACUGGGCGUAAAGGGCGUGUAGGUGGCCAACUAAGUCCGACGUGAAAUCCCCAGGCUUAACCUGGGAACUGCGUCGGAUACUGGAUGGCUUGAAUUCGGGAGAGGGAUGCAGAAUUCCAGGUGUAGCGGUGAAAUGCGUAGAUAUCGGGAGGAACACCAGUGGCGAAGGCGACUUUCUGGCCUGUUCUUGACGCUGAGGCGCGAAAGCUAGGGUAGCAAACGGGA
This 253-nucleotide ribosomal RNA is filed under the name uncultured prokaryote. Its description in RNAcentral is "partial 16S ribosomal RNA". It matches the Rfam family "Bacterial small subunit ribosomal RNA", at positions 525 to 777 of the family's 1533-position model. The record is from RNAcentral.